This is a small nucleolar RNA of Mastomys coucha (southern multimammate mouse), 143 nucleotides long. RefSeq annotates it as small nucleolar RNA SNORA48. The record is from RefSeq and is a predicted model, not a curated record. The transcript has a single exon. Lineage: Eukaryota; Metazoa; Chordata; Mammalia; Rodentia; Muridae.
CACCCCAGCAAUAGGCAAAGAGACACCUUGGUGGUGGUGGUGUUCUUAUAUUAGUCAGGGGCAGAGCAGAUGGCUUUCAUUUGGUCAUCCUAGCUUGAUGCUUGGCUUGGUGGCCAAUGUAGUGUUAUACCUAGGAAUCAUAA